Molecule: transfer RNA, 77 nt
Filed under: Asaccus platyrhynchus
Lineage: Eukaryota; Metazoa; Chordata; Lepidosauria; Squamata; Phyllodactylidae
Description: tRNA-Asn
Source: RNAcentral
GAUUGAAGCCCGCUGGAUUGGGUGACUAGUUGUUAAUUAGAAGUUUAUGGGAUCAAGGCCCGUCAGUCUAUGAGUAA